GUAGGUGGCAAGCGUUGUCCGGAAUUAUUGGGCGUAAAGCGCGCGCAGGCGGUUCUUUAAGUCUGAUGUGAAAGCCCACGGCUCAACCGUGGAGGGUCAUUGGAAACUGGAGAACUUGAGUACAGAAGAGGAAAGCGGAAUUCCACGUGUAGCGGUGAAAUGCGUAGAGAUGUGGAGGAACACCAGUGGCGAAGGCGGCUUUCUGGUCUGUAACUGACGCUGAGGCGCGAAAGCGUGGGGAGCAAACAGGGAUUAGAUACCCUGGUAGUCCACGCCGUAAACGAUGAGUGCUGAGUGUUAGGGGGUUUCCGCCCCCCUUAGUGCUGCAGCUAACGCAUUAAGCACUCCGCCUGGGAGUACGGCCGCAAGGCUG
Molecule: ribosomal RNA, 373 nt
Filed under: uncultured organism
Description: partial 16S ribosomal RNA
Rfam family: Bacterial small subunit ribosomal RNA
Source: RNAcentral